This 1210-nucleotide ribosomal RNA is filed under the name metagenome. RNAcentral describes it as "bacterial SSU rRNA". It matches the Rfam family "Bacterial small subunit ribosomal RNA", at positions 276 to 1498 of the family's 1533-position model. The record is from RNAcentral.
ACGAUGUUUAGGGGGCCUGAGAGGGUGGUCCCCCACACUGGUACUGAGACACGGACCAGACUCCUACGGGAGGCAGCAGUGAGGAAUAUUGCGCAAUGGAGGCAACUCUGACGCAGCCAUGCCGCGUGCAGGAUGACGGCCCUACGGGUUGUAAACUGCUUUUAUACAGGAAGAACUUUCCGCACGUGUGCGGGAUUGACGGUACUGUACGAAUAAGCACCGGCUAACUCCGUGCCAGCAGCCGCGGUAAUACGGAGGGUGCAAGCGUUAUCCGGAUUUAUUGGGUUUAAAGGGUGCGUAGGCGGAUAAUAAGUCAGUGGUGAAAUACUGCAGCUCAACUGUAGAACUGCCAUUGAUACUGUUAUUCUUGAGUUCGAUUGAGGUAGGCGGAAUGUGUAAUGUAGCGGUGAAAUGCUUAGAUAUUACACAGAACACCGAUUGCGUAGGCAGCUUACUAAGUCGACACUGACGCUGAGGCACGAAAGCGUGGGGAGCGAACAGGAUUAGAUACCCUGGUAGUCCACGCUGUAAACUAUGAUCACUAGCUGUUGGCGAUACAUCGAUCAGCGGCAAAGCGAAAGCAUUAAGUGAUCCACCUGGGGAGUACGGUCGCAAGAUUGAAACUCAAAGGAAUUGACGGGGGCCCGCACAAGCGGUGGAACAUGUGGUUUAAUUCGAUGAUACGCGAGGAACCUUACCUGGGCUUAAAUGCAGAUUGACGUUUCGGGAAACCGGAAUUCUCUUCGGAGCGAUUUGCAGUGCUGCAUGGUUGUCGUCAGCUCGUGCCGUGAGGUGUCGGGUUAAGUCCCAUAACGAGCGCAACCCCUAUCGUUAGUUGCCAGCGGAUAAUGCCGGGGACUCUAACGAAACUGCCGGUGUAAACCGAGAGGAAGGUGGGGAUGACGUCAAAUCAGCACGGCCCUUAUGUCCAGGGCUACACACGUGUUACAAUGGUCGGUACAGAGGGCAGCUACCUGGUGACAGGAUGCUAAUCUCGAAAGCCGGUCUUAGUUCGGAUCGAAGUCUGCAACUCGACUUCGUGAAGCUGGAAUCGCUAGUAAUCGCGUAUCAGCAACGACGCGGUGAAUACGUUCCCGGGCCUUGUACACACCGCCCGUCAAGCCAUGGAAGCUGGGGGUACCUGAAGUCUGUAACCGCAAGGAGCGGCCUAGGGUAAAACUAGUGACUGGGGCUAAGUCGGAACAAGGUA